RNAcentral lists this long non-coding RNA (1226 nucleotides) under Olea europaea subsp. europaea. Lineage: Eukaryota; Viridiplantae; Streptophyta; Magnoliopsida; Lamiales; Oleaceae. The record is from RNAcentral.
AUUACCACAGGAACUGUGGAACCCAAAAUUCCUUAUUUCUUUCCUGCUGGUUUUUCUCUAAAACUUGUAUUGAAGAGUCCAAGUUCAAAUAUGAAUCUCAAAGCGGAACCAAGCAGAUAUUGAGUGGGAUUUUGAUGAAGGAAAGGUAUAAUCAUGUAUGAGGACUGCAGAAAAAUUGCGUGGCAAGUAUAGGGCAAUAUGUGGUCGGCCAAUGCUGCGAAUUCAUGCUGACCGGGACAGAAGAAAGCCAUGGCGAGGGUGGUUUUGAGCGUAUUAAUUACUGCAGUAAGGAUUCUAAUUAAUUUUAGGGUAGAAUUCUAAUUUGAUAAUUUUGAAGGGUAGUGGACCUAAUUUCCCCAAAGUUAAAUGGGUUAAGAUUAGGGAUGACAAUCGAGCUCGUCGGCUCAGAGCGCCAGUGACUUGGCCCAGAAAAAGCCCGAGUCGACUUGGAGGCAUCGGGCCAAGGUUUGGGCUGAGUUCCCAUUUUGGGGAGUUGGCAUGAGUCGACUCGACCCGUGUGGCUCGACCGACCUGUGAGCCCUUUAUAAAAAAAUAAAAAAUAAAAAUUUGGGUUAUAAAUCUGCUGUCAAACCUGCCCCUUUGGCAGCUAAACUACCUUAACCGGCAACUAUGAAGCAGCAGGUUAAGGUAGCAUCCGAGCUGCCUGUUUUGGCAGCUAUUUUGGCUGUCAAACAGGCAGCUAAUCUCCUCACAACAAGCAACUUAUCAAGCUUGGUAGCUAAAUUCUGUUGCCUGUUUGGCAACUAAGAAGGGAAUUUUUUUUUUUUUAAAAAAAAUUGAGAAAAUCGAGCCGGCUCAGCCUGGUAACACUCGAGCCUUAAAAUUUUGGCCGAGCUUUUGCUCUGCUCGGGCAAAAAAAAAGCUUGCCUUAAAAAAGCUCCAGUCGAGCCCAAGCCGGGAGUUUCGGCUCGUUGACACCCCUAGUCAAGAUUUAAAGCCAUCCAAAUUUUAAUAUAAAUGGGUCGGGUUGAACAUUUGGAUUUGGUUGUUGAUAAUUAUUUCACUCAUCAACCAAGCCUUAUGAAAUAUAUUCCAACAUUUAACAUCGUAACAUCAAAUUUAUUGGGUAUCAAAAUCCAAAACAUCCUAAUUUCGCUUUAUCAUGAUACAAUUCGAAUCCUCCAAUUUGAUAACGGGUCGAAAAUUUACGUGAAAAUAAUUAAUUAAAGCGGAUAUAAAGCAAAAAUUAUCCAAACUAAAAUUAG